GACGAACGCUGGCGGCGGGCUUAACACAUGCAAGUCGAACGGAAAGGCCCUGCUUUUGUGGGGUGCUCGAGUGGCGAACGGGUGAGUAACACGUGAGUAACCUGCCCUUGACUUUGGGAUAACUUCAGGAAACUGGGGCUAAUACCGGAUAGGAGCUCCUGCUGCAUGGUGGGGGUUGGAAAGUUUCGGCGGUUGGGGAUGGACUCGCGGCUGAUCAGCUUGUUGGUGGGGUAGUGGCUUACCAAGGCUUUGACGGGUAGCCGGCCUGUGAGGGUGACCGGCCACAUUGGGACUGAGAUACGGCCCAGACUCCUACGGGAGGCAGCAGUGGGGAAUAUUGCACAAUGGGCGGAAGCCUGAUGCAGCAACGCCGCGUGCGGGAUGACGGCCUUCGGGUUGUAAACCGCUUUCGCCUGUGACGAAGCGUGAGUGACGGUAAUGGGUAAAGAAGCACCGGCUAACUACGUG
RNAcentral lists this ribosomal RNA (468 nucleotides) under uncultured bacterium. RNAcentral's name for it is "partial 16S ribosomal RNA". It matches the Rfam family "Bacterial small subunit ribosomal RNA", at positions 28 to 507 of the family's 1533-position model. The record is from RNAcentral.